This 76-nucleotide transfer RNA is filed under the name Anaerococcus nagyae. RNAcentral describes it as "tRNA-Thr". It matches the Rfam family "tRNA". From Rfam's summary of the family: Transfer RNA (tRNA) molecules are approximately 80 nucleotides in length. RNAcentral also lists the same sequence under 1 other name. Lineage: Bacteria; Bacillati; Bacillota; Tissierellia; Tissierellales; Peptoniphilaceae. The record is from RNAcentral.
GCUUCAAUAGCUCAAUUGGUAGAGCAACGGUAUCGUAAACCGUAGGUUGCAGGUUCAAUUCCUGUUUGAAGCUCCA